CGAGCUGUACAAAAAAGAGAGUUUCUCCUAGAACGGAAAGUUCUUCGUCAAAACUCCUAUUUUUGUCGUGCUCG
RNAcentral lists this non-coding RNA (74 nucleotides) under Streptococcus suis 89/1591. The record is from RNAcentral. Lineage: Bacteria; Bacillati; Bacillota; Bacilli; Lactobacillales; Streptococcaceae.